UCCUACGGGAGGCAGCAGUGGGGAAUUUUCCGCAAUGGGCGAAAGCCUGACGGAGCAAUACCGCGUGAGGGAAGACUGCCUAUGGGUUGUAAACCUCUUUUUUCAGGGAGGAAUAAAUGACGUGUACCUGAAGAAUAAGCAUCGGCUAACUCCGUGCCAGCAGCCGCGGUAAGACGGAGGAUGCAAGUGUUAUCCGGAAUCACUGGGCGUAAAGCGUCUGUAGGUGGUUUAAUAAGUCAACUGUUAAAUCUUGAGGCUCAACUUCAAAAUCGCAGUCGAAACUAUUAGACUAGAGUAUAGUAGAGGUAAAGGGAAUUUCCAGUGGAGCGGUGAAAUGCGUAGAUAUUGGAAAGAACAUCGAUGGCGAAAGCACUUUACUGGGCUAUUACUAACACUCAGAGACGAAAGCUAGGGUAGCAAAUGGGAUUAGAUACCCCAGUAGUCCUAGCCGUAAACUAUGGAUACUAGAUGUUGAACAGAUCGACCUGUGCAGUAUCAAAGCUAACGCGUUAAGUAUCCCGCCUGGGAAGUAUGCUCGCAAGAGUGAAACUCA
RNAcentral lists this ribosomal RNA (553 nucleotides) under uncultured bacterium. RNAcentral describes it as "bacterial SSU rRNA". It matches the Rfam family "Bacterial small subunit ribosomal RNA", at positions 337 to 903 of the family's 1533-position model. The record is from RNAcentral.